RNAcentral lists this microRNA precursor (96 nucleotides) under Chlorocebus sabaeus (green monkey). RNAcentral describes it as "miRNA (ENSCSAG00000023854.1)". Lineage: Eukaryota; Metazoa; Chordata; Mammalia; Primates; Cercopithecidae. The record is from RNAcentral.
UUGAUGUUACUAGGUUGGUGCAAAAGUAAUUGCAGCUUUUGCCAUUAAAAGUAAUGGCAAAACCUAAUAUAUAUAUUUAGCACCAACCUAAUAUAU